GGACAGGUGACGUUCUCAGGGGAAAGCGCUCAUUACGAAGGAGUUUCUCUCAGAUCGAGUAGUAGUCUUCGCUUGCCACUGGAGGAGGGUGUUUGGUCUUUUAAAUCGUGUAAUAAAUUUGCCGAGUCGCUUUAACCAUUUUGGAAAAAGGAGGCGCAAUGAAAGUGAUCUUCAUUUUGACAGCGUUGUUAAGUGUUGGGUGUUCGGGCAGUCCUGUCAAAACAGAGAGACCUAGUACAACCACCCUCCGAAGUUUGCCUGGAGCUCCCCCAACAAGAACAACACCAUCCACAACUACAUAUCCAGAGUUGGAUUCCCCUUAUGCAAUGCCACCACUUCUUGCUGAGCUGGUGAGAGAGAACAAGUUGGCGCCUGCAACUGAAAUAGUUCCUAUUCCAAUACAGCUUUGGUUGUUAUGAUGGUAUUCGAAGUCUUUACAGUUAGCUCUGAAUUUCAUUUUAUUCUCUUACACCAACCUCGGCUUCUUCAUAUACUGGUUAUCGAUAGAUGGUGGGUGUAAAUACGUUUAUACGCAUAAGUAAAUCGUCUUGUCGAGCAGUAAACAUGCCUGGUCUGAUAUAAAAAUUGUUCUGAACACAAAUCUAGUUUUCAUUUCUUCAGGGAUAAACACCUAAUUUCUUCGCACCCCCCCCCCUUUUUUUUUUUACAAAGAUAGCUAAUUAGCUCAAAGCAAAUGAAGAUCUUUAUAACUAAUUGAUGUAAUAAGAACACCAGUGCUCAAUUUCAUUCAUUGAGUCCAAACAGUUAGUUACUCUGAAGGCAGCGACACGAUUGACUAAACAGAUCUUUCUGACUACCAAAAUUCUGCAACAGGGCAGCGAGGCUUCUAAGAUAAAUCUUACAUCUAUUAGACUGGACUUAGUGAAACAACAACCCUUAAUGUAUAAUCGAAGCCAUUCGAAAAUAUAUGUCGUUAAAAAAAACAUAAUUCAAAAUCAGAAAUAUCUUUUGUGUCCUUUUAUGUGAAAUUGCCCCAUUGAGUUUUGGACUGGUGCUGUUGGACACAGCAAUAUUUUCCAUUUCAGUUCAUCAGCCGCCACAGAAUUGCAAAUUCACCGCUUGAUGAUUAGCUAACUGAUGGCUUUUCCAUUGGACUUUUGUUCUGCAUUUGCAGAGAUUGCCUACCGCCGAUAGCCGCGGUGUUUUGCCCAAUGAAAGUGAGAGAGGAAAAAGAGAAUAGUACAGCUUGUAACUUUCGCCGAUUUUUUAAAAUAACUCGUAUAAUUUGGGUUUACACACACAUU
Long non-coding RNA from Macrobrachium nipponense, 1265 nucleotides. RefSeq lists it as uncharacterized. The record is from RefSeq and is a predicted model, not a curated record. The transcript is spliced from 4 exons. NCBI's taxonomy places the organism in Eukaryota, Metazoa, Arthropoda, Malacostraca, Decapoda, Palaemonidae.